GACGAACGCUGGCGGCGUGCCUAAUACAUGCAAGUAGAACGCACAGUUUAUACCGUAGCUUGCUACACCAUAGACUGUGAGUUGCGAACGGGUGAGUAACGCGUAGGUAACCUGCCUGGUAGCGGGGGAUAACUAUGGGAAACGAUAGCUAUUACCGCAUAAUAUUGAUUAUUCCAUGAUAAUUGAUUGAAAGAUGCUAUGGCAUCACUACAAGAUGGACCUGCGUUGUAUUAGCUAGUAGGUGAGGUAACGGCUCACCUAGGCGACGAUACAUAGCCGACCUGAGAGGGUGAUCGGCUACACUGGGACUGAGACACGGCCCAGACUCCUACGGGAGGCAGCAGUAGGGAAUCUUCGGCAAUGGACGAAAGUCUGACCGAGCAACGCCGCGUGAGUGAAGAAGGUUUUCGGAUCGUAAAGCUCUGUUGUAAGAGAAGAACGGGUGUGAGAGUGGAAAGUUCACACUGUGACGGUAUCUUACCAGAAAGGGACGGCUAACUACGUG
RNAcentral lists this ribosomal RNA (505 nucleotides) under uncultured bacterium. Its description in RNAcentral is "partial 16S ribosomal RNA". It matches the Rfam family "Bacterial small subunit ribosomal RNA", at positions 28 to 507 of the family's 1533-position model. The record is from RNAcentral.